AUCCAGCUGAUGAGUCCCAAAAUAGAACGAAACGCACGUUUUAGAU
Molecule: non-coding RNA, 46 nt
Organism: Schistosoma haematobium
Lineage: Eukaryota; Metazoa; Platyhelminthes; Trematoda; Strigeidida; Schistosomatidae
Source: Rfam